Molecule: long non-coding RNA, 784 nt
Organism: Arabidopsis thaliana (thale cress)
Lineage: Eukaryota; Viridiplantae; Streptophyta; Magnoliopsida; Brassicales; Brassicaceae
Product: other RNA
Exons: 2
Source: RefSeq
GGUCAGAGAAGCCAAGAACAAGCUCCACCAUGAAAAGCUCUCCAUCAAACCUUAGACCAGACGAUGCUGCAGGCUGAAGAAGACCAUCAACCAUUCCGCCAAACACAUAUAAAAAUCUCCCUGAACAAUCAGCGCAGGAAUGGUUUUAACAUCCAACACCCAGAAAUCAUCUUUCCUAUGCCUAUAAGAAUCUUCACCGCCAUAAAUCAAGAUUCGACCUCCCAAUACAAGAGUCGCCGAGUGACCAACCCGAGGCAACGAUGCGUAUUCGGGAACAUCCUGGAAAUCGUAGAAUAUCUGUAUCCAUUUUUCUUCACACGGUUCUUGAAUAUCCAAGAUCCAAACAUCAUCAAGCACAUCAUAUCCUAAUCCUCUGCCUCCAAAUAGAACCACUUGGUUUUCUCUAAUGCAGGUCAAAGUAUGCCCUGAGCGCGGUGGCGGUAAUUGUGGAGACUCCACCAUGUGCCAUGUCCCAGAGCUGAAAUCUUCAGAAAGUUCAAGAAUCCAUGUAUCUCCAAGCCUGACUCCAUUCAGCCCGAUUCCUCCAUGUACAACCAUCUUCUUCUCAGCAAUACAACAGGCGGAAUGAGCACCACGAGGAGGAGGACGAGGCCGCUGCAAAGACCCAACAUUGAGGAGUUUCCAAGAGAGUCCCUCGUGGCAAAAGACUUGACCAAUCCAUGUGUCAUUUAGCCUCUCUCCACGGUCAUUUAUACCUCCAAAUAAGAGUAGAUACUCGCCUAUAACGAUGCAGGUGUGUCCGAAUCUCCCACUUGGAGUCCCU